UGACCUCAAAUCAGGCAAGACUACCCGCUGAACUUAAGCAUAUC
This 44-nucleotide ribosomal RNA is filed under the name fungal sp. MR03. Its description in RNAcentral is "partial 28S ribosomal RNA". RNAcentral also lists the same sequence under 1 other name. Lineage: Eukaryota; Fungi. The record is from RNAcentral.